Molecule: unclassified non-coding RNA, 737 nt
Filed under: uncultured Prochlorococcus sp.
Lineage: Bacteria; Bacillati; Cyanobacteriota; Cyanophyceae; Synechococcales; Prochlorococcaceae
Description: partial 16S-23S ribosomal RNA intergenic spacer; may also contain 16S ribosomal RNA and 23S ribosomal RNA
Rfam family: tRNA (bases 344-416)
Source: RNAcentral
UUGUGGAGAAGGACGCCGAAGGUGGGGCUGAUGACUGGGGUUAAGUCGUAACAAGGUAGCCGUACCGGAAGGUGCGGCUGGAUCACCUCCUAACAGGGAGACAAUAAAUUGAUUGUGUUGUCUAAGUUAUUUAUUCUUAGGCCGCAGUCCUGUCACCUUAAGGUCGAUCGGUACCUCAGAUUUUUGAAUUAUUUUUAUAAUUGAUUCUUUGAUUUCAGUUCCUAAACUUGUCUAGGUCACACCCAACAAAGGUUUCUCCUGGGCCAUUAGCUCAGGUGGUUAGAGCGCACCCCUGAUAAGGGUGAGGUCCCUGGUUCAAGUCCAGGAUGGCCCAUUCGUUGUUGGGGGUAUAGCUCAGUUGGUAGAGCGCCUGCUUUGCAAGCAGGAUGUCAGCGGUUCGAGUCCGCUUACCUCCACUGAAAACUAUCCUGAUAACUAAAUUCUGGAGAAAAAAUUGUAGAUGUGGCUUAGAAUUGUCUAUUUGAAAAGAACCUAGCUUCUUGUCAUCUUUUUAUAGUUGAUAAAAUGCUGGGCUCGCAUGGAUUUUAUCCAUGAGAAUUCAGUAGAACCUUGAAAACUGCAUAGAUUAGAAAGAAUAAAGCAUCUCAUGGAUGCAUAAUUCUGUUUUUAUAAUUUAGCCUCAAAACUAAAUUAUUUAAUUCUAGGAUUCAUGUUUAAUUCUUGAGUAAAAGCCGAGCACAAUUGAAUUUGUGAUUGUAUUAAAGGUCAAGCUACAA